Molecule: long non-coding RNA, 153 nt
Organism: Mytilus californianus (California mussel)
Lineage: Eukaryota; Metazoa; Mollusca; Bivalvia; Mytilida; Mytilidae
Exons: 2
Source: RefSeq, a predicted model, not a curated record
GUAGUGCUCAGAUUUAUACACACAGCACUGUGAUGUUUCCCAUUUCUACACUGACCUAUGUACCAUAUACAUGGGUCUAAAUAUAGUGUAUUAAAAGAAAAGAACCCUAGAUCAUCGUUUGUGUUGUAUUUACCUAGAAAAUACCCCGUUACA